GUUGACGAAGAGGUAACAUUAUUGUAAUCGUGUGUUAGUUGAUAUGUAGCCUCCUUUAGUGACUGUAUGCUUAUACGUCUUGCCACAGGGAACAAAAAUACAAACUACUCUUUUCAACAAAGACGUACACAGUUGGAAUGAAUGUUUUAUCCUAAAUCAAAGAUACUACAUUAUAAAUGGACAAGUAAACGUUGCUAAAUCCAAGUUCUUAUCUGUGCAUAAGGGCCUUGAAGUCAUGUUUAAUAACAACGCAGAGAUGAUCGAGUGCCACAGUCAGUUUAUGACUCAACAGUUCUCGAAUGGUUUUAUUUCCAUCGAAGAAGCCGAAAAGAUCACUACUGGCACUUUCUUUGAUGCGGUUUGUAUUUUAGUUAAAGUAAAAGCACUAAAUAGAGAUGGACGAACCAAAAGGCGAGAAGUCAUAGUUACAAACGAAAGGUAUGAUCGUAAAAUAAUGACUUUGUGGGGAGACUUAGUUGAAAUUGACGGAGAAUUGUUAUAGAACAUUGAAAAUACCAAACCUGUGCUUUCUUUUUGUGAUGUUAAAUGCUCUAUUUACAAAGGUAUAAUUAAACCUGCAUUACAUAUUUGUAUCAAUAUUUUAGGAACUCUGAAUUUAUCACUAAAUUUAUCAAACGUAUAAAAACAGGGGAUUUCGUCCUUUCCAGGACUCCUAU
Molecule: long non-coding RNA, 677 nt
Organism: Lycium ferocissimum
Lineage: Eukaryota; Viridiplantae; Streptophyta; Magnoliopsida; Solanales; Solanaceae
Exons: 3
Source: RefSeq, a predicted model, not a curated record